This is a non-coding RNA of Novosphingobium sp. B1, 100 nucleotides long. The record is from Rfam. NCBI's taxonomy places the organism in Bacteria, Pseudomonadati, Pseudomonadota, Alphaproteobacteria, Sphingomonadales, Sphingomonadaceae.
CCGGACGCCAACCGGGUCCGGUGGGACACAUGAGAGCGCCGGCUCUCUCCGGCGCAUCUCAUGCCCAAAUUGCUCAAUUUGGAGGAUUUGGAAAUGAGAA